RNAcentral lists this ribosomal RNA (253 nucleotides) under uncultured bacterium. RNAcentral's name for it is "partial 16S ribosomal RNA". It matches the Rfam family "Bacterial small subunit ribosomal RNA", at positions 524 to 776 of the family's 1533-position model. The record is from RNAcentral.
UACGGGGGGGGCAAGCGUUGUUCGGAAUUACUGGGCGUAAAGGGCUCGUAGGCGGCCAUCUAAGUCGGACGUGAAAUCCCAAGGCUCAACCUUGGAACUGCCUUUGAUACUGGGGAUCUUGAGUCCGGGAGAGGUGAGUGGAACUGCGAGUGUAGAGGUGAAAUUCGUAGAUAUUCGCAAGAACACCAGUGGCGAAGGCGGCUUACUGGUCCGGUUCUGACGCUGAGGCGCGAAAGCGUGGGGAGCAAACAGG